ACAUAUAAAUAAUUGCCGAAGACAGUAGGUGCCGCAAUGGCAUAAGGAGAACCCGCCUACCGAGGAAUGAUGUUAUUCAAGCAUUAUGCUAGAUUAAUUGAUAAAGCCUCCUGUCUUUUGCAGGAGGCUUUUUUU
Molecule: small RNA, 135 nt
Filed under: uncultured Lachnoclostridium sp.
Lineage: Bacteria; Bacillati; Bacillota; Clostridia; Lachnospirales; Lachnospiraceae
Description: Ribosomal protein L10 leader
Rfam family: Ribosomal protein L10 leader
About the family: This family is a putative r-protein leader autoregulatory structure found in B. subtilis and other low-GC Gram-positive bacteria. It is located in the 5' untranslated regions of mRNAs encoding ribosomal proteins L10 and L12 (rplJ-rplL).
Source: RNAcentral